RNAcentral lists this long non-coding RNA (2330 nucleotides) under Pan troglodytes (chimpanzee). RNAcentral's name for it is "long non-coding RNA NONPTRT002284". Lineage: Eukaryota; Metazoa; Chordata; Mammalia; Primates; Hominidae. The record is from RNAcentral.
CAGUAGCCAAAUGGAACUUGAUAUAAACACUUCCAGUAUGCCAACUUUGGUUUAAUGCACAACUUUGAAAAUAACUCAUUAAAACACAUAUCAAGAUGCUACUAACAAAUUCAUUAAUAUCCAAGAUUCAUUAUGUCAAAGGUCAUCCAGGAUUAACAUUUUCAUUACAAUGAACUGUGAAAUUCCAAUGAAAAAUGUUUGCCUGAAUUAAAUUAUUUAAUCUCUCAAAUUGGAAGUCUAGCACUCUUGAAAAUCAAAUUCACACACACACACACACACACACACACACACACACACACACACUUACAAACUGCACAUUAGGACAUGAGGGCAAUUUAAUGGAAAAAGAAAAUAGAAACUGAAAGGGCAUUUGUAAAAUGUAGGAUAUCAUUUGGACAACUGGAUAGAGUAGGCAGAAAAUCCUAAAGGUGUACAUUAAAAAAUAGCCAGUAAAUGAUAGGCUACAGAAAACCACACUCAAACAUUUGAUGAAUUUCACUGCAGUAAACAGACUUGGCAAACUGAAACACUAGAACCAUGACUACAAGCCUCACUUCAUUCCACACAAAUAAAAUCUCUAACCAUUAUAAGCACAGAUGAGAAUCCUCAUGCAACAGAGGAAAUAUAAAUUAUUUUUAAUUUUAAAAAAUAAAAAAUAUAAAUUCUUGUUAAACACUUGAUUUAAAAAUAUGUAGCUUUAUUUUUAAAUGUAGUUAUGCUCAAAGAUGGCAGUUUACUUAUAUGUAAAAAUGUUUUAAAAAUAUCAAUAUAUUGGUUUAUAAGUUAUAUACUGCCCUCAGCUAAAUAUUUUUCACCAAAAUUCUCAAAUAACUAUCAAAAAGAGUUGCAUGUUUUUAUAAGCCCACUAUAAUUACUAAACGCGGUAAUUUUCAGAGCUAAAGGUGAAUCAUUAAUGAAAUAUUUUUUGAUGUGAUAAAAGUCACAUGAGCAUUUGAAUUUAAAGACAACUGAUAAGCCAACAGCAGCCUUUUUUUGGCAGGUGUUAAAUUAAUUUGCUCUAAAUUGAGCAACUGUUUGGGAACUACAAAAACUGAAAAGUUCAAACUAUAAGGAAGUAGAAAGGUGAUGAAGUUUACUAAUACAGUGUUUCACACAUUCUAUUUAACACAAUUCCAAAUGCAAAUGUUUAAGAUGAUUUUUGAAGAGAAACAUCUACAAUGUUAAGCUUGUCUAUGCUAAACAAAUGUAACUUUAAUUUACAUGUAUCAUCCUAAUGUCAACAAUAUUUAGACAUUCAUGAUUAAGCCACUGAAUUCGAAAGGAUUCUCAAUAACUACAUGUAAUCUGCAUCUGUGGCAUUAGAAAGUAAUCAAAUCACUGUCCGUUUUCUGAUGCAAUGGAACAUCCUACAAAUUCAUGACAGAUAUACUAAGCUAAAAAGCUUUGAGAUCAGGUACAGUAUAAAUUUCAUUUUUAAAGAAUAUACAUGGAUAUACAGAAGAAAACAUGAUUGUAUAGUCACUAACAUAUUAACGAUGGCUAUGUCUCCAGGUGAUAGGAUUAUGAGUGAUUAUUUUAUUGUUGUUGUGAUGGGGAAGUAGUCUCAAAAUACCUAGCUUAACAACCAGAGUACUACCACCAAAGCAAACUAUUUUGUCCUUUCCUGUCUUCACAUUACAAACUUUUUAAAGCUACCAACCAAUAUGAAUUUGUCUGACUGGCUACCCACAUUCUGAUAUACAUAUUAGAAGGAAGAUCUUUUGGAAGAUGGAAAAAUAGCAAGAUUAUGGUCAUAAAAGAAUAAUAUGCUCUCAAAAAUAAGCAACAAUCAUUAGGCUUUCUAUAGCCACAUACAAUUAAUUCUAUAAGAAAGUUGGCUCCAACAUUUCAUCUUUAAAAGACUUUUUCCAUUAUCCUGUUUCCUGGUUUUCAGGUACUGUCCUUACAACAGUUUGGACUGAAUAUUCUUGUUUCCAUUCACAAACAUUUCUUUCUGAACUAGCAACAGCACUAAUCAAUAGCUACACUUAAGCCAUUUAAGACUAAGCUUUAGAUGUGUGUCUAAUUAUCUGGCAAAAAUAAAAGAACCAAAGAGUUUCAUGUUAGCAGCAAAUUAACUAGAUUUAAGGGUCUUGAUUUUUUUCAUAAGCCUUUGGAACCCUGCAUAUUAAACACUGGUGAGUUUUAAAUUCUCAAUGGAAAUGGUGAUGGCAUUUACUGAACCAAGCCAGCUCAUAUUACAACGUACAAAGGACAUGAUAUAAAAACAAAACUAGCACAUUUCUAUUUUUCAAACAUCACCAAAAUAUCUUCUUAUAAAUUAGAAUACUUUCAGACUCCAGUAUAGUUUUCAAUCAUACGUAUACCCA